UUUCUUUGUCAUCAACUAGGAAGCAAAUUGGCAAAGUAAAUCUUGGGGCGAUGUGAUAUUAAGUGCGGGGGAUAAAAUAGCGUAUGAGGAGGAAACUGCGAAAGAAACUUCAUUUGCCUUUUGUUCAUAAAUUGAUUAUCUCACAUUAUUUCCCAUUAAGGAAGCAUUUCAUCUCAAGGGAAAUCACCAUUGACCAUUAUCAGCCUCCACUAUGCCCAAACCUAUAAAAGGCAACCCUUUAUGCUAUGUAGAGAUCAACAAAUUCUCUAAAACAGCCGUUCUUAAUUAAGGGAUCAAAAACUCUCGCGAGGAAACGGCUACGGAGUUUUAUAAGUGGAUCAAAAUGAACACAGCACUAUCUUGGAUUCUCCUGGGCUUCUUCGUGUGUUUUCUUUUAACUUCGGGCAGCGCGUUCACGCCAGGAGCUGGAGGGCAAAGGGUUGGCAAGAGGGGAAGCAAAAUGGAACUCAGCGAUGACCAGCAGGACUACAUAAGAGAAUUCUGUAACAAAGUCCGCCCGUGUCCGAACGACUACAGAAGAGAGAGUUUUCUGCGUGCCGCUCAACUAGCAAGGGACGAAGACUUCUGACCUGUUGGCCCCGUUUUCUCGCAAAUACCGGACAUUAAUGCACUGUAGUUUACAUUUUACAAAUUUUGAUAAAGAUACAUGUCAUUAUCAGUAAAUAUGUAUGUUCAUAAGUUUUGACUUUGUUUAAUUGGCUAAUUGUAAAUGUCAUUGCGCGGAUCAACGUUGAACCUGUUAAACUGGCUUAAUGAAUUCUUUUUGAAUCGUGCAAAGGAAAGAAAAUUAGUCUAUAUACGGAUAGAGCAAUAAAAUGGGAAAUAAAGCAAUUCCUUGACUAAACCAACUAA
Molecule: long non-coding RNA, 873 nt
Organism: Orbicella faveolata
Lineage: Eukaryota; Metazoa; Cnidaria; Anthozoa; Scleractinia; Merulinidae
Source: RefSeq, a predicted model, not a curated record